Molecule: unclassified non-coding RNA, 381 nt
Filed under: uncultured Alphaproteobacteria bacterium
Lineage: Bacteria; Pseudomonadati; Pseudomonadota; Alphaproteobacteria
Description: contains 16S-23S intergenic spacer region
Source: RNAcentral
UCCGGCUUAUCACCGGCAGUUUCAUUAAAGUGCCCAGCCAAACCUGAUGGCAACUAAUGAUGAGGGUUGCGCUCGUUGCGGGACUUAACCCAACAUCUCACGACACGAGCUGACGACAGCCAUGCAGCACCUGUGUGGAAUCCGGCCGAACCGACAGGAACCAUCUCUGGUCCCCUUAAUUCCCAUGUCAAGAGCUGGUAAGGUUUUUCGCGUUGCUUCGAAUUAAACCACAUACUCCACCGCUUGUUCGAGCCCCCGUCAAUUCCUUUGAGUUUUAAUCUUGCGACCGUACUCCCCAGGCGGAGCGCUUAAUGCGUUAGCUGCGACACUGAUGGAUUCCUCCACCAACAUCUAGCGCUCAUCGUUUACAGCGUGGACUAC